Molecule: ribosomal RNA, 495 nt
Filed under: uncultured bacterium
Lineage: Bacteria
Description: bacterial SSU rRNA
Rfam family: Bacterial small subunit ribosomal RNA
Source: RNAcentral
AUUGAACGCUGGCGGCAUGCCUUACACAUGCAAGUCGAACGGUAACAGGUCUUCGGAUGCUGACGAGUGGCGAACGGGUGAGUAAUACAUCGGAACGUGCCCGAUCGUGGGGGAUAACGCAGCGAAAGCUGUGCUAAUACCGCAUACGAUCUACGGAUGAAAGCGGGGGAUCGCAAGACCUCGCGCGGACGGAGCGGCCGAUGGCAGAUUAGGUAGUUGGUGGGAUAAAAGCUUACCAAGCCGACGAUCUGUAGCUGGUCUGAGAGGACGACCAGCCACACUGGGACUGAGACACGGCCCAGACUCCUACGGGAGGCAGCAGUGGGGAAUUUUGGACAAUGGGCGCAAGCCUGAUCCAGCCAUGCCGCGUGCAGGAUGAAGGCCUUCGGGUUGUAAACUGCUUUUGUACGGUAACGAAAACGACUACUCUCUAAUACAGGGGUGAAGUGACGGUACCGUAAGAUAAGCACCGGCUAACUACGUAGCCAGCAGCCG